RNAcentral lists this ribosomal RNA (362 nucleotides) under uncultured bacterium. RNAcentral's name for it is "bacterial SSU rRNA". It matches the Rfam family "Bacterial small subunit ribosomal RNA", at positions 8 to 353 of the family's 1533-position model. The record is from RNAcentral.
AGAGUUUGAUCAUGGCUCAGGAUGAACGCUAGCUACAGGCUUAACACAUGCAAGUCGAGGGGCAGCAUGGUCUUAGCUUGCUAAGGCUGAUGGCGACCGGCGCACGGGUGAGUAACACGUAUCCAACCUGCCGUCUACUCUUGGGCCAGCCUUCUAGAAAGGAAGAUUAAUCCAGGAUGGGAUCAUGAGUUCACAUAGUCCGCAAUGUAUUAAAGGUAUUUUCCGGUAGACGAGUGGGGAUGCGUUCCAUUAGAUAGUAGGCGGGGUAACGGCCCACCUAGUCAACGAUGGAUAGGGGUUCUGAGAGGAAGGUCCCCCACAUUGGAACUGAGACACGGUCCAAACUCCUACGGGAGGCAGCA